RNAcentral lists this ribosomal RNA (821 nucleotides) under uncultured beta proteobacterium. RNAcentral's name for it is "bacterial SSU rRNA". It matches the Rfam family "Bacterial small subunit ribosomal RNA", at positions 38 to 857 of the family's 1533-position model. The record is from RNAcentral. Lineage: Bacteria; Pseudomonadati; Pseudomonadota; Betaproteobacteria.
GGCGGCAUGCUUUACACAUGCAAGUCGAACGGCAGCGCGGGGCAACCUGGCGGCGAGUGGCGAACGGGUGAGUAAUAUAUCGGAACGUACCCAGAAGUGGGGGAUAACGUAGCGAAAGUUACGCUAAUACCGCAUACGAUCUACGGAUGAAAGUAGGGGACCGCAAGGCCUUAUGCUUUUGGAGCGGCCGAUAUCUGAUUAGCUAGUUGGUGAGGUAAAGGCUCACCAAGGCGACGAUCAGUAGCUGGUCUGAGAGGACGACCAGCCACACUGGAACUGAGACACGGUCCAGACUCCUACGGGAGGCAGCAGUGGGGAAUUUUGGACAAUGGGCGCAAGCCUGAUCCAGCAAUGCCGCGUGAGUGAAGAAGGCCUUCGGGUUGUAAAGCUCUUUUGUCAGGGAAGAAACGGUAGAGGCUAAUAUCCUUUGCUAAUGACGGUACCUGAAGAAUAAGCACCGGCUAACUACGUGCCAGCAGCCGCGGUAAUACGUAGGGUGCAAGCGUUAAUCGGAAUUACUGGGCGUAAAGCGUGCGCAGGCGGUUUUGUAAGUCUGUCGUGAAAGCCCCGGGCUCAACCUGGGAAUUGCGAUGGAGACUGCAAGGCUUGAAUCUGGCAGAGGGGGGUAGAAUUCCACGUGUAGCAGUGAAAUGCGUAGAGAUGUGGAGGAACACCGAUGGCGAAGGCAGCCCCCUGGGUCAAGAUUGACGCUCAUGCACGAAAGCGUGGGGAGCAAACAGGAUUAGAUACCCUGGUAGUCCACGCCCUAAACGAUGUCUACUAGUUGUCGGGUUUUAAUUAACUUGGUAACGCAGCUAACC